CCUCCAACUAUGGAAACCAUACUUUUCUUUCUCCUUUCUGUAUUUUCCAAAAGGUAGACUCUGAACCUGUUUUACUCUACCCAUGAAUACUGCUGAACAGGAUAAGUUGAUGCCUGGGCCAUUUGAAAGAAGGUAACGAUUUUGCAAACCAGAACUUACCAGCCAGCUGUUCCUAUCAAGACUAUCUCCUGUUGAUUUCUUAAUUUUUCAAAAUGAAUAAGAAUAAACUAAUUCCCAAGCUUUCCAUUCAAUCUCCUGUCGGUCAUACCAAUUUAAAUGUCCAGUCCUCAAACCCACUACGUAAGAAAGAAGACUUAAAUCUGAUUUCAGAAGACUCCUUGGAAUCAGAUUCAGAAAGCCUCACUCAAGAGUUCGAGUCCCAGUCUGAACUUGAGGACCAAAUCCAGGAUGUAGAUGUGGAGCCUGACAGCCUAGAGGGCAGUCCUCAGAGGGAAAGCUUGAGUGAAACAGAAGAGGAAGCAAGCAGAAAAGUAGCUCAGAUGGCCAUCCAAGGAGACCUCCCAGUCCAGGAUAAUGAUGUGAAUAACAGCCAACAACCUAUAGAAGACAAAUACUCAGACCUCCGCUAUGACCCAAAUUGGAAGAACAAGAAGGAAGAAGGGCAGUUGUUGAGGGUGGAAGCAUUGCCAGAGUCUGCAGCCAGUUCUUCAGAAAAUCUGCCCUUGGAUCCACUCUACCCUUCCAAGGAGACUUCAAUGGAACUCUCAGAGGGAAAAGGCAAACAGAGAAAGAGCUCUCAGAGCGAAACUUCCUUACUUGGAAGUGAAUUUUUAAGCCCAAACUAUGAGAGUGGUGCCCAACACAAAGAGCCAUUUUCAGAGCUAAGCAGUAGUGAUAUGGAGGAGAAGUCAAGCAAACUCUCUCAGUACCUGAAGAGUUCAAGUUCACAUAGCGAGGUUUUCCUGCCAGGAUCACGUGGCCCUCGGAGAAGGAAGUCCAAGCAAUAUUUUGUGGAAAAAAAUAAGCUGACUUUGGGAUUACCCUCUCCUAAAACAGACUCGUAUCUUCAACUUCACAACAGAAAAAGAGGGGAAACUCACCCAGAGCAGAUCUACUACCCCAUCAGAGUAACUGGCAAGACGUCUGUUCAGAAUGCCAAAGAGAUGGAAAAUGCUGCCAUCGAUCCUGAGGACAAGUGGCAUCAAAGAGCACAACAGUUAAAGAUUUACCAGGAGCACUGGUCUCAAUAUGAAGGUACAAAAUCAAGCAAUCUACCAAGAAGUCAAUCCUCUGAAAUAGCCAGCGGCCAGCAACCAUCCAAAAGACCAGCCAAGCCCAAAGCUCGGAGACAGCAUAAACGCCAGAUUGGCCUCAAGUCUUUCAUGGUCAGUCAAGGAAACCAGAACGACAUUCCAAGACAGCAACAAAACCAAAAUCAGCCUAUAGAUGCUUCAGUAAAGCAUGGAUCAACUGUGCUCACAAACGCCUCUAACAAUGAUUUACAAGACUCAAGAGCAUUUAGGAACCAGGAUCCCAAAGUGACCUCCAAUAUAUUUGCUCCACCAAAGCAGGCUUUUGACAGGGUAUUAUAUAAAAACUCUACUGGAUAUCACUCAAUGCUGAAUAUCAAUAAAGAAAGGGGACAAUGCAGAGAUGAAGAGGAGAGAAGAUUUCCGUAUCAGCAGCUACCCAUAUACACUCUUUCUGAUUCAGAUUUGAACAACCUUAAUGAACUUUCUAAGAGACAAGUGUUCCUGAGCCAGAAAGAGUCUCAGUCUGUUUAUGACAUGAAUGUUCAAAGAUCGACUGAAAAGAGGAAGCAACCAAAACAGCCUUUUACAGAGACAAAAUAUAGGAACUUAGAAAUGUUAUGGAAAUUCCAUCCUUCCUCGGACAGCCAACCUGUCAGAGCUUCCCCAGAUUCACGGCUCACUCAGAUAAUGGAGCAGCAUCAGCAAGCCUUGGUGCAGCUGACCGACGUGCAGCCCAGUAAAGGGUCCUCUUCUAGCAUCAUACUCCCCCCCAUCUCAUCAAGGGUAGAAAGUGAAUCCCAACUCAGUCCAGAGAGAAGCCAAAGAAACCAAGUGAAAAUUAUCCGUAGCAAUUCUGAAGGCUAUCUGUUUCAACUGGAAAAAGGGAAAAAACACAGGAAAAGGAACAGCAUUAAGAGUUCCAAGCUGAAAGGUUAUCAAAAAAGAGAUGUGAAGCUUGGAGGCCUGGGACCUGACUUGGAAUCUGUCAGAGAAAAAAUGCAAAAAUUAAUACAGCAAAAAGAAUAUGCAAAACAAGUACAGGAAUACAACAUGAAGACACUGUCUGUUCUGUCCAAACCACAAACAGCAAAAACUGAAAAUAAAUCAGCCAUUCCUCGGCAGAAGGGUCUACCAGUGUUCCGCGCCUGGAAGAAGAAAGCUGCCCAAGUGGAAAGUUUCCGGCUUUGGAGCUGGAAAGUUGAGUUUAGUUCCAUGGGAGGGGACUGACAAGGGUCUCCUGGAGCCAGGAGAGGUGAAGAAUUGGAAUAGAGACAUGGGCCAAAGUAGCCAGGAAGAUCACCAGUGGAACUGAGCACUGCCCUCCAGUAAUAUGUCAAACUCAUUCACCUCUAGCUGCCUCUUGGCCAGAUGUAUCUCCAUUUUAAAAAGUGUAGAGAGACCACAAAUUAUCCCCAUGGGUUGGUAUGCUUCAAGGGAGCUCUGCCUGCUCUCAGCCAAGUCCCCAACCCUCUAUUGUUACUGAUCUGGGAGAUAGGGGGGUGGACCAAGCCAGGCCAACCCAGAGCUGGUCUUUGCUUAGCUCUAUCACAGGCUUAGGGACUGUGCUAGAAGGCCUGCUCUCUUGCUCCCCGCACAUUAAGGCCCCUGCUACUUACCCGAGGUGGUAAGGAAAUAAGGAUGGUGGUGGUCUCCCUUAUGCAGAGGGUGAUGGGCGUGAGGAGCCAGGAGGGUAGGUGUGGGCAUGAGGGGGUAGCCAUAGUCUAGUAGAGGCACCCGGGAAGCCAAAGAGCUGGCAAAAUGGUCAGGGGCCACCUCCCUCAGCGGCUUGGGCUUGUGCAGCAGGAUGUCCUCGAUGAAGAAGGAUGUGGGCCUCUGAGAAGACGCCGGGUGUAGAGGAGAGGUGAAGUUGAGAUUCAUCUUGAUCUCGGAGCGCCUGCCACAGGGCGAAGGCCGGGAAUAAAGUGUGUGAAGCAGGCAGCGUCUCAGCAAGCCUGGUGGAGAUCCGACAACCCUUCUCCGAGACUCAGAUCUCCACUGCUCUCUCCUCGGCCUGGACUAUCCCGGGCACUGGAAAGGCGAGAAGACAAGAUCCUGGCAACGCUGGGGAACAAAGCUGCGAGCCGGAGAGAGCACCACCACCGCCGCCAGGACCCAAGCAGACCCCUGCGGGGCUCGGAGGCGGAACCCGCAUCCGUAGUGCAGGCUCCGGCGGGGAUUCUACCGUCGUCUCUUUAUCCCUGAGGGAGAGAGACCGCUUUUGCCCACGGUGCCCUGCUAACACAGCCGGCACUUGGAGCUUGAGCCGUGCGCGCCAAUGGGCGGGUAUGCAGAAGGUUCGUCCUCAAGAUUCUAGUCCCGUCCUGACCUCACGUUCCUUUUAGAGCCAGAUCCAGGGAAAUUGCAUGGCGGGUUCGGAACGGCAGAAAGUUUUUCCGCAGU
Ictidomys tridecemlineatus (thirteen-lined ground squirrel) is the source of this 3614-nucleotide non-coding RNA. NCBI's taxonomy places the organism in Eukaryota, Metazoa, Chordata, Mammalia, Rodentia, Sciuridae. The record is from RefSeq and is a predicted model, not a curated record.